GACGGAGGGUGCUAGCGUUGUUCGGAAUUACUGGGCGUAAAGGGCGCGUAGGCGGCCGCUCAAGUCGGGUGUGAAAGCCCGGGGCUCAACCCCGGAACUGCACUCGAGACUGUGUGGCUGGAGAUCGGAAGAGGAGAGUGGAACACCCAGUGUAGAGGUGAAAUUCGUAGAUAUUGGGUAGAACACCGGUGGCGAAAGCGGCUCUCUGGUCCGAUUCUGACGCUUAGGCGCGAAAGCGUGGGGAGCAAACAGG
RNAcentral lists this ribosomal RNA (253 nucleotides) under uncultured bacterium. Its description in RNAcentral is "partial 16S ribosomal RNA". It matches the Rfam family "Bacterial small subunit ribosomal RNA", at positions 524 to 776 of the family's 1533-position model. The record is from RNAcentral.